AUCCACCUCUCGUCCAAACAGGAUCCCGGUUCCGGACCCAGGCGUACCCGCCCUGCCUGAGAUGACCACCUCAACGUCAUCUCCCUCAUGUUGGCCACCCGAAUGGGCCAAUCUCAGCCUGCAUUGGACAUCUUGUUUCCCCUCCCCUUCCACAAAAACUUAGCCGGACAUCAUGUUCAUUCUCAUGGCAAUUUCUUAACACAAUCAAAACGGCAACAAUGAGGAAACAAACAAACACAGAACAGGAACACAACGAUGUUGCCAAUAGGCAACAUGCUCACCGGAACAACGGUGGCACGAUGCUGGAGCGGAGACGCCGCGGGAAUCACCAAUGAAUAUGUGUAGAUGUAUAUAUAUAUAUAUAUAUGUAUGUAUCGGUAAGUAUGAUUAAAUAAUGUGUGAUUAGUGUAUAGUGUAUGUAAUGUAGUUAUAUGUAAAUGUGCAAAUUAAUCGCUUAA
Molecule: long non-coding RNA, 458 nt
Organism: Drosophila innubila
Lineage: Eukaryota; Metazoa; Arthropoda; Insecta; Diptera; Drosophilidae
Exons: 2
Source: RefSeq, a predicted model, not a curated record